ACGCUCGACACCUACAGGAGGCAGCAGUGGGGAAUAUUGCACAAUGGGGGAAACCCUGAUGCAGCGACGCCGCGUGAGCGAAGAAGUAUCUCGGUAUGUAAAGCUCUAUCAGCAGGGAAGAAAAUGACGGUACCUGACUAAGAAGCCCCGGCUAACUACGUGCCUGCAGCCGCGGUAAUCUGAGGCGGGCUGGCAAGGC
RNAcentral lists this ribosomal RNA (199 nucleotides) under uncultured bacterium. Its description in RNAcentral is "partial 16S ribosomal RNA". It matches the Rfam family "Bacterial small subunit ribosomal RNA", at positions 328 to 539 of the family's 1533-position model. The record is from RNAcentral.